ACUGAGCCCACGCGAGGGGCCCCAGAGAGGGGUCUAGAUAAGCGGGGGUGGGGAUGCGGGGGUGCAACCCCCAAAGAAAAGGGAG
Molecule: non-coding RNA, 85 nt
Organism: Pteropus vampyrus (large flying fox)
Lineage: Eukaryota; Metazoa; Chordata; Mammalia; Chiroptera; Pteropodidae
Source: Rfam